This 2902-nucleotide ribosomal RNA is filed under the name Klebsiella pneumoniae. Its description in RNAcentral is "23S ribosomal RNA". It matches the Rfam family "Bacterial large subunit ribosomal RNA". Lineage: Bacteria; Pseudomonadati; Pseudomonadota; Gammaproteobacteria; Enterobacterales; Enterobacteriaceae. The record is from RNAcentral.
GGUUAAGCGACUAAGCGUACACGGUGGAUGCCCUGGCAGUCAGAGGCGAUGAAGGACGUGCUAAUCUGCGAAAAGCGUCGGUAAGGUGAUAUGAACCGUUAUAACCGGCGAUGUCCGAAUGGGGAAACCCAGUGCAAUUCGUUGCACUAUCGUUAACUGAAUACAUAGGUUAACGAGGCGAACCGGGGGAACUGAAACAUCUAAGUACCCCGAGGAAAAGAAAUCAACCGAGAUUCCCCCAGUAGCGGCGAGCGAACGGGGAGCAGCCCAGAGUCUGAAUCAGCUUGUGUGUUAGUGGAACGGUCUGGAAAGUCCGACGGUACAGGGUGAUAGUCCCAUACACCAAAAUGCACAGGCUGUGAACUCGAAGAGUAGGGCGGGACACGUGGUAUCCUGUCUGAAUAUGGGGGGACCAUCCUCCAAGGCUAAAUACUCCUGACUGACCGAUAGUGAACCAGUACCGUGAGGGAAAGGCGAAAAGAACCCCGGCGAGGGGAGUGAAAAAGAACCUGAAACCGUGUACGUACAAGCAGUGGGAGCACCUUCGGGUGUGACUGCGUACCUUUUGUAUAAUGGGUCAGCGACUUAUAUUCUGUAGCAAGGUUAACCGUAUAGGGGAGCCGCAGGGAAACCGAGUCUUAACUGGGCGUUAAGUUGCAGGGUAUAGACCCGAAACCCGGUGAUCUAGCCAUGGGCAGGUUGAAGGUUGGGUAACACUAACUGGAGGACCGAACCGACUAAUGUUGAAAAAUUAGCGGAUGACUUGUGGCUGGGGGUGAAAGGCCAAUCAAACCGGGAGAUAGCUGGUUCUCCCCGAAAGCUAUUUAGGUAGCGCCUCGUGAACUCAUCUUCGGGGGUAGAGCACUGUUUCGGCUAGGGGGUCAUCCCGACUUACCAACCCGAUGCAAACUACGAAUACCGAAGAAUGUUAUCACGGGAGACACACGGCGGGUGCUAACGUCCGUCGUGAAGAGGGAAACAACCCAGACCGCCAGCUAAGGUCCCAAAGUCAUGGUUAAGUGGGAAACGAUGUGGGAAGGCACAGACAGCCAGGAUGUUGGCUUAGAAGCAGCCAUCAUUUAAAGAAAGCGUAAUAGCUCACUGGUCGAGUCGGCCUGCGCGGAAGAUGUAACGGGGCUAAACCAUGCACCGAAGCUGCGGCAGCGACACUAUGUGUUGUUGGGUAGGGGAGCGUUCUGUAAGCCUGCGAAGGUGUGCUGUGAGGCAUGCUGGAGGUAUCAGAAGUGCGAAUGCUGACAUAAGUAACGAUAAAGCGGGUGAAAAGCCCGCUCGCCGGAAGACCAAGGGUUCCUGUCCAACGUUAAUCGGGGCAGGGUGAGUCGACCCCUAAGGCGAGGCCGAAAGGCGUAGUCGAUGGGAAACAGGUUAAUAUUCCUGUACUUGGUGUUACUGCGAAGGGGGGACGGAGAAGGCUAUGUUAGCCGGGCGACGGUUGUCCCGGUUUAAGCAUGUAGGCUGAUUGUCCAGGCAAAUCCGGAUAAUCAAGGCUGAGGUGUGAUGACGAGGCACUACGGUGCUGAAGUAACAAAUGCCCUGCUUCCAGGAAAAGCCUCUAAGCAUCAGGUAACAUUAAAUCGUACCCCAAACCGACACAGGUGGUCAGGUAGAGAAUACCAAGGCGCUUGAGAGAACUCGGGUGAAGGAACUAGGCAAAAUGGUGCCGUAACUUCGGGAGAAGGCACGCUGGUGUGUAGGUGAAGUCCCUGCGGAUGGAGCUGAGACCAGUCGAAGAUACCAGCUGGCUGCAACUGUUUAUUAAAAACACAGCACUGUGCAAACACGAAAGUGGACGUAUACGGUGUGACGCCUGCCCGGUGCCGGAAGGUUAAUUGAUGGGGUUAUCCGUAAGGAGAAGCUCUUGAUCGAAGCCCCGGUAAACGGCGGCCGUAACUAUAACGGUCCUAAGGUAGCGAAAUUCCUUGUCGGGUAAGUUCCGACCUGCACGAAUGGCGUAAUGAUGGCCAGGCUGUCUCCACCCGAGACUCAGUGAAAUUGAACUCGCUGUGAAGAUGCAGUGUACCCGCGGCAAGACGGAAAGACCCCGUGAACCUUUACUAUAGCUUGACACUGAACAUUGAGCCUUGAUGUGUAGGAUAGGUGGGAGGCUUUGAAGCGUGGACGCCAGUCUGCGUGGAGCCAACCUUGAAAUACCACCCUUUAAUGUUUGAUGUUCUAACGUUGGCCCCUGACCGGGGUUGCGGACAGUGUCUGGUGGGUAGUUUGACUGGGGCGGUCUCCUCCCAAAGCGUAACGGAGGAGCACGAAGGUUAGCUAAUCCUGGUCGGACAUCAGGAGGUUAGUGCAAUGGCAUAAGCUAGCUUGACUGCGAGCGUGACGGCGCGAGCAGGUGCGAAAGCAGGUCAUAGUGAUCCGGUGGUUCUGAAUGGAAGGGCCAUCGCUCAACGGAUAAAAGGUACUCCGGGGAUAACAGGCUGAUACCGCCCAAGAGUUCAUAUCGACGGCGGUGUUUGGCACCUCGAUGUCGGCUCAUCACAUCCUGGGGCUGAAGUAGGUCCCAAGGGUAUGGCUGUUCGCCAUUUAAAGUGGUACGCGAGCUGGGUUUAGAACGUCGUGAGACAGUUCGGUCCCUAUCUGCCGUGGGCGCUGGAGAAUUGAGGGGGGCUGCUCCUAGUACGAGAGGACCGGAGUGGACGCAUCACUGGUGUUCGGGUUGUCAUGCCAAUGGCACUGCCCGGUAGCUAAAUGCGGAAGAGAUAAGUGCUGAAAGCAUCUAAGCACGAAACUUGCCCCGAGAUGAGUUCUCCCUGAGACUUUAAGUCUCCUGAAGGAACGUUAAAGACGAUGACGUUGAUAGGCCGGGUGUGUAAGCGCAGCGAUGCGUUGAGCUAACCGGUACUAAUGAACCGUGAGGCUUAACCUU